Molecule: ribosomal RNA, 491 nt
Filed under: uncultured bacterium
Lineage: Bacteria
Description: bacterial SSU rRNA
Rfam family: Bacterial small subunit ribosomal RNA
Source: RNAcentral
AUUGAACGCUGGCGGCAGGCCUAACACAUGCAAGUCGAGCGGGAGUAGCAAUACUCUAGCGGCGAACGGGUGAGGAAUGCUUGGGAAUCUGCCUAGUAGUGGGGGAUAACGUUCGGAAACGGACGCUAAUACCGCAUACGUCCUACGGGAGAAAGGGGGGGAUCUUCGGACCUCUCGCUAUUAGAUGAGCCCAAGCGGGAUUAGCUAGUUGGUGAGGUAAUGGCUCACCAAGGCAACGAUCCCUAGCUGGUCUGAGAGGAUGAUCAGCCACACUGGAACUGAGACACGGUCCAGACUCCUACGGGAGGCAGCAGUGGGGAAUAUUGGACAAUGGGCGAAAGCCUGAUCCAGCCAUGCCGCGUGUGUGAAGAAGGCCUUAGGGUUGUAAAGCACUUUAAGCGAGGAGGAAGGUUCGUCACCUAAUACGUGGCGGAAUUGACGUUACUCGCAGAUAAGCACCGGCUAACUCUGUGCCAGCAGCCGCGGUAAUG